Non-coding RNA from Pelobates cultripes (western spadefoot toad), 209 nucleotides. The record is from the annotation of a GenBank genome assembly. Lineage: Eukaryota; Metazoa; Chordata; Amphibia; Anura; Pelobatidae.
GUAACGAACGGGCUGUGCGGAUGCCGGCGACGGGAAGGAGAACCAGGGAAGCUCCGGACCAGGAGACCACGAGGAAGACAGGUAAGAAAUCCAAUAUGGCGAUCUGAACCGGAAGUAAAACAUUUCAGACUCGCCAGACCAGCAACGGUAAGGUGGCAGUGGAUUGGCAGCCCUUUUAAAGGGAAUUCAAGCCCCUCCCACAACUACAG